AUGGCACGGCAAACGCUGCUCCUGUUCGUAGCCACGCUCGUCGCCUCUGCCACAGCGGCCGCGGCGGCGGUGGAGCUCGUCGUCCAGGGGCGCACGGCGGAUGUGGCGGGGUGGAUGCGUCCGGGACCCAUCUCCUGCCAAGGCACGGUGGAGGAGUGCCUGCACGAACGCGAGCGCGAGCACGACGACGUGUUUGGGCUCAGGCGGCGCCUUGUCUACGCGGAGGAAGAGGAGGACGGCGGCGGCUACCCUACGCAGUACAUCAGCUACUCCGCGCUGAUGAGGGACUCGGUGCCGUGUUCCGUGCCGGGCGCGUCCUACUACAACUGCCAUCCGGGCGCCGUCGCCAACCCCUACUCGCGCGGCUGCUCCGCUAUCAGCCAAUGCCGCGACUAG
Molecule: ribosomal RNA, 396 nt
Filed under: Triticum aestivum (bread wheat)
Lineage: Eukaryota; Viridiplantae; Streptophyta; Magnoliopsida; Poales; Poaceae
Description: partial small subunit ribosomal RNA
Source: RNAcentral